Molecule: ribosomal RNA, 3006 nt
Filed under: Salmonella enterica subsp. enterica serovar Heidelberg
Lineage: Bacteria; Pseudomonadati; Pseudomonadota; Gammaproteobacteria; Enterobacterales; Enterobacteriaceae
Description: bacterial LSU rRNA
Rfam family: Bacterial large subunit ribosomal RNA
Source: RNAcentral
UUAAGCGACUAAGCGUACACGGUGGAUGCCCUGGCAGUCAGAGGCGAUGAAGGGCGUGCUAAUCUGCGAUAAGCGCCGGUAAGGUGAUAUGAACCGUUAUAACCGGCGAUACCCGAAUGGGGAAACCCAGUGUGACUCGUCACACUAUCAUUAACUGAAUCCAUAGGUUAAUGAGGCGAACCGGGGGAACUGAAACAUCUAAGUACCCCGAGGAAAAGAAAUCAACCGAGAUUCCCCCAGUAGCGGCGAGCGAACGGGGAGGAGCCCAGAGCCUGAAUCAGCAUGUGUGUUAGUGGAAGCGUCUGGAAAGGCGCGCGAUACAGGGUGACAGCCCCGUACACAAAAGCGCAUGUGCUGUGAGCUCGAUGAGUAGGGCGGGACACGUGGUAUCCUGUCUGAAUAUGGGGGGACCAUCCUCCAAGGCUAAAUACUCCUGACUGACCGAUAGUGAACCAGUACCGUGAGGGAAAGGCGAAAAGAACCCCGGCGAGGGGAGUGAAAAAGAACCUGAAACCGUGUACGUACAAGCAGUGGGAGCCCCACCACCAAAGCAUUCUCUGGUGUUGAAGGCCCUGCAAAGCAGCAUCGCGGUGGCGGAGCGUCGUUUGCGACGCCCAACACACAAAACAAGCGGUGAAUGCUUUGGGGUGGGGUGACUGCGUACCUUUUGUAUAAUGGGUCAGCGACUUAUAUUCUGUAGCAAGGUUAACCGAAUAGGGGAGCCGGAGGGAAACCGAGUCUUAAUUGGGCGUUAAGUUGCAGGGUAUAGACCCGAAACCCGGUGAUCUAGCCAUGGGCAGGUUGAAGGUUGGGUAACACUAACUGGAGGACCGAACCGACUAAUGUUGAAAAAUUAGCGGAUGACCUGUGGCUGGGGGUGAAAGGCCAAUCAAACCGGGAGAUAGCUGGUUCUCCCCGAAAGCUAUUUAGGUAGCGCCUCGUGAAUUCAUCUCCGGGGGUAGAGCACUGUUUCGGCUAGGGGGCCAUCCCGGCUUACCAACCCGAUGCAAACUGCGAAUACCGGAGAAUGUUAUCACGGGAGACACACGGCGGGUGCUAACGUCCGUCGUGAAGAGGGAAACAACCCAGACCGCCAGCUAAGGUCCCAAAGUCAUGGUUAAGUGGGAAACGAUGUGGGAAGGCCCAGACAGCCAGGAUGUUGGCUUAGAAGCAGCCAUCAUUUAAAGAAAGCGUAAUAGCUCACUGGUCGAGUCGGCCUGCGCGGAAGAUGUAACGGGGCUAAACCAUGCACCGAAGCUGCGGCAGCGACGCUGAUGCGUUGUUGGGUAGGGGAGCGUUCUGUAAGCCUGCGAAGGUGACCUGUGAGGGUUGCUGGAGGUAUCAGAAGUGCGAAUGCUGACAUAAGUAACGAUAAAGCGGGUGAAAAGCCCGCUCGCCGGAAGACCAAGGGUUCCUGUCCAACGUUAAUCGGGGCAGGGUGAGUCGACCCCUAAGGCGAGGCCGAAAGGCGUAGUCGAUGGGAAACGGGUUAAUAUUCCCGUACUUGGUGUUACUGCGAAGGGGGGACGGAGAAGGCUAUGUUGGCCGGGCGACGGUUGUCCCGGUUUAAGCGUGUAGGUGUGUGUUCCAGGUAAAUCCGGUUCACUUUAACACUGAGGCGUGAUGACGAGGCACUACGGUGCUGAAGCAACAAAUGCCCUGCUUCCAGGAAAAGCCUCUAAGCAUCAGGUAACAUCAAAUCGUACCCCAAACCGACACAGGUGGUCAGGUAGAGAAUACCAAGGCGCUUGAGAGAACUCGGGUGAAGGAACUAGGCAAAAUGGUGCCGUAACUUCGGGAGAAGGCACGCUGACACGUAGGUGAAGUGAUUUACUCAUGGAGCUGAAGUCAGUCGAAGAUACCAGCUGGCUGCAACUGUUUAUUAAAAACACAGCACUGUGCAAACACGAAAGUGGACGUAUACGGUGUGACGCCUGCCCGGUGCCGGAAGGUUAAUUGAUGGGGUCAGCGCAAGCGAAGCUCCUGAUCGAAGCCCCGGUAAACGGCGGCCGUAACUAUAACGGUCCUAAGGUAGCGAAAUUCCUUGUCGGGUAAGUUCCGACCUGCACGAAUGGCGUAAUGAUGGCCAGGCUGUCUCCACCCGAGACUCAGUGAAAUUGAACUCGCUGUGAAGAUGCAGUGUACCCGCGGCAAGACGGAAAGACCCCGUGAACCUUUACUAUAGCUUGACACUGAACAUUGAGCCUUGAUGUGUAGGAUAGGUGGGAGGCUUUGAAGUGUGGACGCCAGUCUGCAUGGAGCCGACCUUGAAAUACCACCCUUUAAUGUUUGAUGUUCUAACGUGGACCCGUAAUCCGGGUUGCGGACAGUGUCUGGUGGGUAGUUUGACUGGGGCGGUCUCCUCCUAAAGAGUAACGGAGGAGCACGAAGGUUGGCUAAUCCUGGUCGGACAUCAGGAGGUUAGUGCAAUGGCAUAAGCCAGCUUGACUGCGAGCGUGACGGCGCGAGCAGGUGCGAAAGCAGGUCAUAGUGAUCCGGUGGUUCUGAAUGGAAGGGCCAUCGCUCAACGGAUAAAAGGUACUCCGGGGAUAACAGGCUGAUACCGCCCAAGAGUUCAUAUCGACGGCGGUGUUUGGCACCUCGAUGUCGGCUCAUCACAUCCUGGGGCUGAAGUAGGUCCCAAGGGUAUGGCUGUUCGCCAUUUAAAGUGGUACGCGAGCUGGGUUUAGAACGUCGUGAGACAGUUCGGUCCCUAUCUGCCGUGGGCGCUGGAGAACUGAGGGGGGCUGCUCCUAGUACGAGAGGACCGGAGUGGACGCAUCACUGGUGUUCGGGUUGUCAUGCCAAUGGCACUGCCCGGUAGCUAAAUGCGGAAGAGAUAAGUGCUGAAAGCAUCUAAGCACGAAACUUGCCCCGAGAUGAGUUCUCCCUGAGACUUAAAGUCUCCUGAAGGAACGUUGAAGACGACGACGUUGAUAGGCCGGGUGUGUAAGCGCAGCGAUGCGUUGAGCUAACCGGUACUAAUGAACCGUGAGGCUUAACCUU